GGGGCUCCAAAGUUUGAAGACAGGUGUGUACAAACAGAGGCUACAUGUCAGGAAUUAGGGCUGCAUCUCAGGCAAUUGGUGAGUAUAAAAUAAUAGUUCCCAAUUGAUUUCUGUAAGGUUUUACUUCCCCCGAGUAUAUUGUGCUUGAAAGAAUAACUGAAAACAGCUUCCAUUCCUAUUUUCCAAUUGAACGAUUAUCUGUAUAAUAAUUGAAUUAAAGAUAUCGAUUUACUGUGAGUUUAUGAAAUACCCAUUGAGGUUAAUGCUGUUGGUAAUAAUGUUCAAAUUAGAAGACACAAUAGAGUUAAUUUUGUCAUUUGGUCACGGAACUCAUCAUCAUCAUCAUCAUCAUCAUCGUUUAACGUCCGUUUUUAUAGUAGCAUGGGUCGGACGAUUUCACUGGCAAGGCAGUAGGCUGCGCCAGGCUCCAACUGUGAUCUGGCAAGGUUUCCACAUAUGUAUGCCAUUCCUAAUGCCAACCACUCCGAGAGUGUGGUGGGUGCUUUUACGUGCCACCGACACAGGAGCCAGUUGAGGGGGGCUGGCAUUGACCACGUUCGGAUGGUGCUUUUUACUUUCCCCCGGCACAGGGAACCAGUCAGGCGGAACUUGCAACAAACCACUGAAUAACAUUGUUAUAAAUUAAAAGGAUUAAAAAUCAAAUCUCUAAGAGUAUAAGUAUAAUGAUCAUUAACGUUGAUUAAAUAUUAAAUUUGGUAUUGAACGGUGAACAUCUGUUUGCAUUUAAACAAAACAUUGGUGUUGACAUAAAAUAUAAAGAUAGGAAUUAAAUAUGAGUUCCCUGUGUGACUUGAUCUCACAAAUCCUUGUUUGUAACUAUAUAUAAUAUACACUUAUUACAUUGUUUGAACAACAUUUACCAUCCAUAUAGUCAUUCUUUUUCUCACUCUUGUUAGAUUUUAGAUGAUAUUAAUGCUAAAAGAGGCACAGUUUUCUGAGUGUUUCACCUCUGGUUUUAGUUCUGACUUGAUUGUUGCAUUCAAAUUUGACUACUCCCACAGGUUUAACGUCUUGUUCCCUUCUACUUGGAUCUCCUGGCCCUUCUUUAUCUAACUUUUAUCUCCAUACUCCUCCCAUAUCUCUACAUCUCUCUCUUGUGCACUAAAUCUUCUAAACCCUAGUUUUGCUUCCAGCUCAUCUCUGCUCCGGGACUUCAGCACAUUAAUAUUACACUUCUUCUGAAGUAUGCUCACUUCAUUUCUUAACAGUUUUCAUACAUCCUCUAUACUCUGUGAAACAUUCCACUUUACAAAUACACAUCAAGGUUCACCAAGGAUCAGUCCUCAGCCCCCUUCUGUUCAUUAUAGUCCUCCAGACAAUAAAAGAGGAAUUCAAGACACUCUGCCCCUGGGAUCCUCUUUAUGCUGAUGACCUUGCUCUUAUAGACAAGUCACUGCCAGAACUGGAAACAAAGUUUAGCGUCUGAAAGCAAGGUCUAGAAUCGAAGGGCCUUAGGGUUAACCUAGUCAAAACCAAAGUCCUUGUUAGUAGGAAGGCUGUUAAAUCACAACCCCUUUCAGGUAGAUGGCCCUGCUCUAUCUGUAAAAAUGGAGAGGGUAGAAACUCCACACGAUGUACCCGGAGGAAGCUAUGGACACAUAAAAGGUGCAGCAAUAUCAAAGAAAGUUAACCGGGAAAAUAGUUUUUGUGUGUGGCAGCUGCUCUGGGGCAAUAAACACUGAAAGUGUACAGAAAACAGAUUCCAUCACAUGCCAGGGGAAGAAACUAGAAGUAGUUAAUAGCUUCUGUUACCUAGGGGAUCAAGUCUGUAGUGAGUGCGAUUGCUCUGCGUGUGUAGAGACUAGAGUAAGAAUAGCCUGGGCAAAGUUGAGGGAGCUCCUACCUCUGCUGGCAACUAAAGGUCUAUCGCUCAGGGUGAAAGGUAGACUGCAUGAUGCAUGUGUGCGAACAGCCAUGUUACAGGGCAGGGAAACAUGGGCCAUGGAUGCUGAGAACAUGCGUAGGCUUGAAAGAAAUGAAGUUAGUAUGAUUCGCUGGAUGUGUAAUGUCAGUGUGCAAUCACGACAAAGUUGGGCAUAAGAAGCAUCAAAUGUGGUGUGCAAGUGAGGCGACUGUGCUGGUAUGGUCAUGUGUUACGUAUGAAUGAAGACAGCUGUGUGAUGAAGUGCCACUCCCUCACUGUAGAAGGAACCUGUAGAAGAGGUAGACCCAGGAAGACAUGGGAUGAGGUGAUGAAGUAUGACCUUCAAACAUUGGCCUCACAAUGGCAAUAACAGGACACCGGGAUCUUGGGAGAUACGCUGUGAUUGAGAAAACCCAGCAACUAAGGUGAGAUUUCAGCCACGCAUACCCAGCCCUGUUGACAAUACUCCUAAUGCGUCGCCCGUUAUGAUAUGCUUGAGAAGAUAUGUUGAGUCAAAACCAAUAGUGUAGCUGUGGCCGGUGCCCCCUGUCUGGCCCCCGUGCCGAUGGCACGUAAAAAGCACCAACCAAACCUGACUGAUGACAGUAGCCCUUGAUUGGCUCCUAUGCUGUUGACACGUAAAAGGCACCCACCACACUCUCUGAGUGGUUGGUGUUAGGAAGGGCAUCCAGCUGUAGAAAUUCUGGCAGACCAGAUUGGAGCCUGGCGCAGCCUUUUGGCUUCCCAGACCCCGGUUGAACCGUCCAACCCACGCCAGCAUGGAAAAUCCAUACUUUCAAUUUGUGAUGUUUGAGAGUCCUUUCAGAAAUUCGAAAAAAGGUUGCUCUGACAGGAUCGUAUGAAGGAGAUGCCUGAGGACAUUACCCCUACAACGCUCCUAUGAAUAGAGGGCAGAGGAAAUGGAUGGAUGGAUGGAUGAAAUUGUUUAACUGUUGGUGGUCUUUGUUCAUUCUUUAUUGACACAUUCUUCUCCAUCUUCAGCCUUUACUUCAAAGUGUUUGUUAUUUCUGUCAGCAUCUUUAGAAAUAGAAAAAUAGUGUUUUGUAGUUUCCUUAUUUCUUAAGUAUUUCUCAUUCGUCUAUUCACAUAAUUUCUUUGUUAUACAAAUAUAACCAUCCUACCGAAGCUGUAGACCAGAGUUUCCAGAUUCUGUACAAAGGCUUUACAAGUUGUGAUGCAGCGAAACAUACACUUUGAACGUCCAGGGAAGCUCUUGAUGAAACUGAAUGAAACUUGAAUGUCUGAUCAUGAGACGUAAAGUAAAUUUCUUGUAAAUGUUGCAGUUCUUUAGCCCCCGAGUCUACAUUCAAUAAACAGAAACCUUUGAUGAAAUGCCUUCCAUCCAGGACCAUCCAGUCUUUUCUCUAGGUAUAGUCAAUCCAGAACCACAUUGACUAAUGCGUACUUCAAUAAGAUGAUAAGUUGUGAACUGAGUAGGUUUUGGCUACUAAUUCUAGCAGAUCUCCCUCCUACAUGGAAAUCCCUUUCUUAGUUUGUCUCCCUUGUUAGAGAUUAACUGCGAAAAUAACGAUACACUUUGAAAUUUCAUUUGUUGAUGUUGUUGUUGUAAGUCCCAUCAUCUCCCUAGACACUUCCUCUGCUGUAUAGACAAAAUUAAAAUCAUGUGAAAUUCUUCCAAAAAUGAAAUGUGUAAUUCCAUUUUGUAAAGCUUGCUUAAAAACAUAUUUUGCUUUCAAGUAGAACCAUCUUGUAGACACAAUUGUCAAUAAAUAUAUGGUUUCCAUUUCUCGCAGCCAAUAUUUUUACAUUAGGAGUAUUCCAUAUGAAUUCAAACAAAAUUUAAAAGGAAGAAACUUUUCACUUGACCAACUCAGAUUUGGCUCAGAUGGUUUUUGGUAAUGCAUAAAGAAUACAUGUAUAAUUAGUGUUCAACCACUAAGGGUUUCAAUGAUAUGCCCUACAAAACAUUGGGGGUCACACCCCUCGUGGAGCGCGAAUGUCAAUUUAUACGAUUUUGGUGCUGAACGCUUUUAAAACUAUUCAUAUUUCUCUGAAAUUGGCUACAGCGUGUAAUCUGCAAUCAGAUCGGCCAGAAUCUGCUAUCAGAAUUCCUCUAUUAUCUUCCUCCAUAUUAACGGUAUUGGCCUUUCAAAUAAGAACAUUUUCAUGGGCAGAAAGUUUUUAAAAUAUCAAUAUUCAAGGGACCCCAUUGGGACAUGAUGUAAUACAAGAAAACGUGUGGUGCGUUUUUUCGCUUUCAGGAUUGAUCUGUCCGUGGUAAGCAUACUGAUAAUGCUCAAGGCAUAAUAUAGCAUUUAGAGGCUCCUGAAAAUGGCUCAGGGUGAAAAAAUAACAUUGUUGACAAUUUUCGAUUCCUACACUUCACCAUCUGAACAAUUAAACAAGGGAAUGUAACUUGGACUCCAGGAAUGCAUUUAUCCAAACUUUAUUCGUUCAAACAUUCAAUUUAUUUUCUCAUCUCCUCCUCGGUUGUUCAUUCACUUUCCAAAUGAUAUGGAAAAUAAUUGGAUCAAGUCCGAUGGUGCGCAUAUGGUGCCCUCUAAUAGAUUCAUGCAUACACACACCUUCAUUAUUUGUAAUGAAUUUCAUGCCCCCUAGUGACAUUCACCCGCACACUUUUGGUGUGUAUGCGCAAUAGUCCUCUAAACCCAAAAUAUUGACACCCAUCAAUACAGAAAUGUAUGGUAAGCAUUUUGCAUUCUAUUUUACUCCGUAUUUUGGCGACAUUGAAUAUAAAUUUCGAAGAGGCACCAAUGCGCAUUCGUUAACCUUUGUGCCAGUAAUUUGGUCACGGAAAUAAUUUACUGGAACCUUUGAUGUAAGUGCUCAUAUGGUGCGGAAAUCACAGCAACUGAGCAAAGAAGAGGCUAUUUUGGCUCAUCCUGACCCAAGGAAAGGUACGUCCCGGGACGUCAGAAUCGAAGGAAUAUUCACGUAUUUGUCCAGCUAAAAAGGAAAUUGUUACUGUAAUUGAGAACGGAUUAAAAGUCCACCGACUAAAAUAGCCAUUGCUUGUGAAUCUUCAGAAAUAGUUUUGUGUGGAAUACAAGGAAAACGCUGGAUAUAAUAAGGUAGAUUUUUGUAAGUUUUAUGAAUUGCAACUGAAAUGAACGGAUAAUACAAUUGUAUGAGUCGGAGGAAUAUUCGCUUCUUUGUGACUUGCAACCAAAAUGCUGUGUUCAAGUUACUACCUCAGGCACGCAUUCAGUAUGUGUCUGUGAGAAUCACCAACAUGCAAAACGUAUCGCCGCUGCCAUUCCUGGUAGUCACGACUACAGAGACUUGCUUGGCAAAAUGGUCUCUUCCGUGAGCAAUCGAGAUUGUAUGUUGCUCCUAUGUGAGUCCCGUCCUUUUGAACAACGUUUUUUAUUAGACGUAUUUUAAUCACUUGGAGGUUUAGUAACGCACAAACAGUUGGCAGAUGUGGACUGGUCAGCUCCUCCUUUAUGACUAACUUCCCCAGUGAAUGCCUUCAUUCAAACCGCUGAAAGUGUGUUUGAAUCUCUACAACAACAUCAUUUCAUAGCAGAGGCCCGAUCUUAUUUCUUUAAUCAUCAAAACGAUGACCUGACAUCAAGUGAAGCAAUAGUAUUGUUGGACUUUACAGAAAAUUAUAGCUUUGUAGUACAGGACGUCCUGCAAGGGUUUCAUCGGAACAAAUUCCAGGAAAAUAUUCAUCCAUUCGUGAUCUGUUAUAAGACUGGUUUAAACCCACAAUGCACUUCAAUCUGUGUCAUAUCUGAUUGUUUGAAACGUGACAACCACAUUGUGCAUGCUUUUAUUACGAGGGUGAUAUCGCAUAUAAAGACAGAACUUCCAUCUCCUGUACUUCAGUGACGGUGCAGCCGACCAAUACAAGAACUAGAGACACCAAACAAAUCUCUGUCAUCAUCAAAAUGAUCAAGGACUUGCAGUAGAGUGGCAUUUUUCUCCAUGUCAUGUGCAAAAAAGUCAGCAAGUAGCCACAGAAAGACAUUUUCUCACGGAUCCCAAGGUGUGUAGCUGAGUAUGUGCAAGCAUUCCAGGAAUAAUGUUCUUUUACGUCUGAAACGAAAACAGUAGAACAGUGAAAUUAAUUGGCACAAGAUCCCAUCACUGCUUCAUUCUUUCUUCAAGAUCUGAUCUUCUAAUGAAAAGAAUAUCAGCCGAUGACAAUUUCACUCUUUUAGGUGAGGAGCAGACAGCAUCUGAGCUGCAUGUUUCAAAGUUACAAUCCUGAAAAUAUGUUGGAUACACGAAUGAAAAUGUUUAACAAGGAGAUCAAGUGAGCAGGUUUAUUCUACGUGAAGUGUCUGUCAUGUGUUUAUGGUAAGAUCAUUGAUGACCAAACUGGUUGCCAUCGGAAUUAAGCAAAGAUGAGAAUAAUGUUGGUUAGAGAAGGGCAGAAGUGAGGGCACAAUUUCACGUCAUAUGUUUAGUGCAGAUAUAAGAAAGGAAAGACAAACCUAAUAAAAGAUUGGUGUUAUCAAGUGAUAAUUAAAUGAAAUAAUGACACAGUUGUUAGAUUAUGUCGAAUGUCUCAAGAGAUAAAAGACAUUUUGGAAGACUGUAAAUAUUAAACUAUUACAUGGUAAUCCUGUUGAAACUAUAAACUUUCUAACCAAAAUGAUUGUCUUCAACAGUUGAUUAUCUAUGAAAGGAAUCCCUGAUGUAAAAUAUAGAUUAUUAAUAAAGAUGGAGAAAUUUUUCUAUAAUGUUUGAAACUUGGAAAUAUUUAUUUCAGUGAAUCGAACAUUUGAAGUCAAGGAAACACAGACAUUGGCUGAACCUGUAGGUGAGUAUAAAAUAACAGCACUUGAUUGAUUUAUGUAAGGUUUAUUCUCUGCUGAACUAUUUUGGGAAGUUUUAGCAGUAAACUAAUCAUAUUAAACAUAUCGAUACUAUUGACAUUUCAUAAAGUAUCCAAUCAGGUUAGCAUGGUUGGUGAAAUGGAUAAAUUAGAAGCGAAAUAGAUUUCAGGUUCUCUUUUGGAACAGCCAAAUAAUAUAUGUUGUGGUUUAACAGGUGAGGUAAUGACAAAGGUUUUGUUUGUUUUAUACUCUUUUACUCGGUUCAGUCAUUUGACUGUCACCAUGCUGGAGCACCACCUUUUUAGUCGACCAAAUCGACCCUAGGACUUAUUCUUUGUAAGCCUAGUACUAAUUCUAUCGGUCUCUUUAGCCAAACCGAUGCAUUACCUAGACGGAAACACACCAGCACUGGUUGUCAAGCAAUGUUGGGAGGACAAACACAUACACACAUACAUACAUACAUACAUACAUACAUACAUACAUACAUACAUACGACGGGCUUCUUUCAGUUCCUGUCUACGAAAGCAACUUACAAGGCUUUGGUUGGCUCGAAGAUAUAGAAGAAGACACUUGCCCAAGGUGCCACACAGUGGGACUGGACCCAGAACCAUCUAGUUCGUAAGCAAGCUACUUACCACACAGCCACUCCUACGCCUGUAUUUUAAAAAUGUUUACUGACAAGAUAUUCUUGUUAUUUUACCUGAUGUCUCUCAUAAUCUGGCAGACUUGCAAUGAAAUGGGUUCCAAAUAUGACCACCCUCAUAUUUUUCACUGAUAAUAAAUCUAUCAUUGCAUCCAGUAAACAUUGUCUUUAUUCAAGUGGAAGACGUUGGUUUGCUGCUCAGAAAACCGUUGUCUCUUUCCCUUUCUUCAAACUUCAUAGAGGCUGUAUGAUACAAUACAAUCAAAUACAUUCAAAGAGACAUCGGACGGGUUGAAAGAAGAAAGGAUAGUGAACACCUUAGAUAAAAGCUCCUUAAGAACCCUUCUGAUGGUACUAGGAUAUUUUUGCCGAUGUUAAGUGGGGGAGAUUAUAAUGCACUAAAGAUGAAGUGAACAAGAAUAUACGGGAGACAUAAGAGGACGUAGUGUUUCUUGGUUACAAGACCACAUCCAUACGAACCGUGAUUAUAGUCCCUAUGUUUCAGUAAGUUUUGAUGGUAUUGUAUUUUUGCUUCAUUUCAUAGGAAACACUAUGUUGUCGAACAUUUCUGUAUACGUAUUUGACACUAAUUAGAUGUAUUUUAUAAAGCAUUUUAGAAACAUUUUCAAUUAGUUGACGUCAAUGAUCAUUAGUGACAAAUGUGGUAAAACAGUGAUGGUGGAAUGGGGUGUGAGAAGGCUUUCAUAUUCCUUGUAAUGUUGUUAACUACGACAUCAGGACGACCGUUUUCUGUCAGGUAAAUAUUUCUACAGAGGUGUCCAUUUUGUCCCCUCAGAUUUUGAUUGAACUGUGUUUUCAGCCCAUUCAGAGGCACCGCAUUGAUUAAGGGGACAUCAAAGGAGAGAUGAAAGUUUGGUUGAUAUAUAGAAGAGGGUUGUCAGAAAUAUCCUCGAGUUUUCAGAAUCACUUCAAUUCUACCAUUUCAGAUCUUUUCACAGCUAUAAUGUAAGGAUGAAGAGUUACCUGUAGUAGGGUGAAGUUUGUGCAAGUGUAUCCUCUUUGAGGACACCUGCUAUCAUUUUCUGUUCCACCUGUGUAGAAGUAAUAUUCACUCACCUUUAUAAACACUGCUCUAUUAAGGUGUUUUAAAGCAUUUCAUGCAUCAGCUGACAUUCUGGUGAACAGUGAUGCAGGAAGUUGAAAACUAAUCAUUACCUGCAGUAAUGUUUAAGAAGGAGAUCAGGUGUGAGUGUUUAUACAACUUAAAGUGGUGUAUGUAAUGUGUUAAUGGUUAGAUCAUUGAUGACCAAACUGGUUGCCAUCGGAAUUAAGCAAAGAUGAGAAUAAUGUUGGUUAGAGAAGGGCAGAAGUGAGGGCACAAUUUCACGUCAUAUGUUUAGUGCAGAUAUAAGAAAGGAAAGACAAACCUAAUCAAAGAUUGGUGUUAUCAAGUGAUAAUUAAAUGAAAUAAUGACACAGCUGUUAGAUUAUGUCGAAUGUCUCAAAAGAUAAAGGAAAUUUUGGAAAGCAGUGUAAAUAUUAAACUAUUACAUGGUAAUCCUGUUGAAACUAUAAACAUUCUAACCAAAACCAUUGUCUUCAACAGUUGAUUAUCUAUGAAAGAAAUCUCUGAUAUAAAAUAUAGAUUAUUAAUAAAGAUAGAGAAAUUUUUUUUAAAUGUUUGAAACUUGGAAAUAUUCAUUUCAGUGAAUCGAACAUUUGAAGACAAGGAAAUGCAGACACUGGCUGAACCUGUUGGUGAGUAUAAAAUAACAGCACUUGAUUGAUUUCUGUAAGGUUUAUUCUCUGCUGAACUAUUUUGAUAUCAGAAUGAUAAAGAUCAGCUUCCAUUCUUACCUGUCAAUGGGAAGUUUUAGCAUUAAACUAAUCAUAUUAAACAUAUCGAUACUAUUGACAUUUCAUAAAGUAUCCAAUCAGGUUAGCAUGGUUGGUGAAAUGGAUAAAUUAGAAGCAAAAUAGAUUUCAGGUUCUCUUUUGGAACAGCCAAAUAAUAUAUGUUGUGGUUUUACAGGUGAGGUAAUGACAAAGGUUUUGUUUGUUUUAUACUCUUUAACUCGUUUCAGACUGUCUCCAUGCUGGAGCAACACCUUUUUAGUCGAGGAAAUCGACCCUAGGACUUAUUCUUUGUAAGCCUAGUACUUAUUCUAUCGGUCUCUUUAGCCAAACAGUUAAGUUACGCGGACGGAAACACACCAGCACCGGUUGUCAAGCAAUGUUGGGAGGACAAACACAUACAUACAUACAUACAUACGACGGGCUUCUUUCAGUUUCCGUCUACCAAAUCCACUCACAAGGCUUUGGUUGGCUCGAGGCUAUAGUAGAAGACACUUGCCUAAGGUGCCACACAGUGGGACUGAACCCAGAACCAUCUGGUUCGUAAGCAAGCUACUUACCACACAACCACUCCUACGCCUUUAUUUUUAAAAUGUUUACUGACAAGAUAUUCUUGUUAUUUUACCUGAUGUCUCUCAUAAUCUGGCAGACUUGCAAUGAAACGGGUUCCAAAUAUGACCACCCUCAUAUUUUUCACUGAUAAUAAAUCUAUCAUUGCAUCCAGUAAACAUUGUCUUUAUUCCAGUGGAAGACAUCGGUUUGCUGCUCAGAAAACCGUUGUCUCUUUCCCUUUCUUGAAACUUCAUAGAGGCUGUAUGAUACAAUACAAUCAAAUACAUUCAAAGAAACAGUGGACGGGUUGAAAAAAUAAAGGAUAGUGAACACUUUAGAUAGCAGCUCCUUAAGAACCCUGCUUACGGUGCUAGGAUUCAUUGGGAAAUUUUAGCAGUAAACUAAUCAUGAUGACACCUAGAAGUUAUGAGCUGGGUGUGUCCGGUUCCUUUAGCUUGUUAGGUAUAAGGGCCGAAACGCUUGUGGAAUGGGAGUUCUUCUACUGAAGAUCUCUCCUGCUGUGUACUCACCUUGCCACGAGUUCCCCCUUUUUAUUGUAACGCUUUAUCCUAGUUGAAGCGUUGAGUCGUGUGUUUGCGGUGAAAUAUGUGAUGCGCAAAUUGAUUGACAUCAGAAUUAAGCAGAAACUGAGAAGAAUAUUGUUUGGUGAAAUAUGAAAGUGAGAGGAAAAUGCCGUGUCUUAGAUUUGGCCCAAAUGUAAGAAAGGAAAAACAGAAGAGAAAAGCAGGGUUGUCAAGUGAUAAUUAAAUGUGAUAAUUACUACAUUGUUAGAUCAUGUAGAGCAUCUUAAUAGAAAGAGGAGAUUUAGGAAGGUUGGUCCAUUUUGUUGCGGACAUAAUAUUGAGCUAUUACAUAGGAAAUCUGUAGAAAAUAUGAAAAUGUUAACCGAAGCCAUAGUGGUUUCUCAUUGCGCAUUGUAGAAAGGAUUAUCAAUACAAAUAAAGAAAUUUUACAAGACUCGAGUGCCACAAAAGCAGCCCCUUGAGAAAGUGAAACACAAAACUUAGACCACGAAAAUUAUUGAUGGAAGCAAUAGACUUCUUUUAUAUAUGCGAAAAGAUUAAGCAUGUGAUGAGGUGUUGCUAUAACAAUUUCAAAAUGUGCUUCAUGAAAGAAAACUUCACAACAGACUGGCACCUUCUUGAGAUUGGAAUUGCUGUAGUUUGCACAGCAUUUGUUUUCUGCUUAUGAUGGAGAUUUUAUGAUCAGCAGGUUGAUCAUAAGAAACGGCUCAAGUGGAUUCAUCUAAAGAGACUCCAUGGAUGACAUCACAAUACUAACAAGAGACCCAAAGAUAUGCAAAUAGUUCUGGAUCAACUAAUUACUUGGUGAAUAAUGAAGGUUAAAGUAAAUACGUAAUGCAGUCUGUCAUUUGUCAUAUUUAAGCAGAAGCAAGUAAAUUUCAAAAUAACAGGAGAAACGAGACCAAAUGUUAAAGACAAUCCUAUAUAAAGAUUAGGACGAUGGUGUGCUAGCUUGCUGUCUGGUAGGAAACGAGGAAUUGAUACAUACCUUGUCACAGAUGUAAGAAUUAUAAGCAGUAGAUACGCCAAAGUGUCUGGACAAAUAUCAGAUUUGUCGCUUCCAGUUUGAUCUGUAUCUCCGUCUCGCUUAAAUAUUCUUGAGAAUCACAUUUUACAUACCAUUUAAGAUAUAUUCCUUAGAGUAACAUGUUGCUCACCAGUUGCAUGUAGUUAAUGAUAUUUGAUACAAAUGUAUAGUGUUUUAAGACACCUGUUAUUAUUAUUUAGCUGUUCGACCUGUGUAGAACUAAUCCUCGCUCACCUGGAAAGAUAUCUGCUUCAUUAAGGAAUAUGAAUGACUUUCAGAUGUCUUCAAAUAUUUCCUGAAUCAGCUGACAUUCUGGUUAACUGAGAUGCAAGAAGUUGAAAUUCAAGAUUAACAGCAUCAAUGUUUGAGAAAGAGAAUAGGGAUGAUGUGGGAGAAGGAGACCCAGGAAGGCAUUGGACGAAAUGUUGAAGGCCGAUCUCAAAACACUGAGCCUUACGAAACAAAUGACAGAGAUGAAAUAUGGAGCGCAUUACUGUACUCGAAAAGACGUGCCCACCCUAACUGAAUUGAGAUCCUAAAAUUAAGGUACCACAUAAAAAGGAUUAGAAUGGGUGCUGCACUGGUGCUGGUAAAAAUGCACUAGUGCUGGUGAAACGAAAAAUGUAUGCAGCAUAUUGUGUAAAGUGGUUGGUGUAAGGAAGGGUCUCCAGCCAUAGAAACCAACAGAAAAGAGACUAUAGAACCUGGUGCAACACCUGGCCUGGCUAGUUCCUGGCCAUUCAACCCACGCCAGAAUGGAUAAUGGAUGAUGGUAGGAAUACUACUGAAAUUUCGGAAAAUAAUCACCAAGUUUGGCAUAGUUGGGAAUAUGGAUAAAUUACCAUUUCAGCUAUUUUCCCUGUAAUAAUGUGUGAAUGACAAUUGAUAUGUAUUUAAUGAGGGUUUGUGAAAAUAUAAAGUAUUUUAGGACACCUGUAAUAAUUUUCCGUUCCAUUUCAUCUGUUGAGAAUUACGUCUUUAAGGGGAAUGAGCGACAUUGAAAUGUCUUCAAACGUUUCCUGAAUCAGACGACACUCUGGUGAACUGUAGAUAAGGGCGGUUUUAUGAACAAGUACCAACAGCAACAGUUAAGGAAGACUUACUUGAAAUGGUGUGUCAGUUGUUUGUGGGUAGAUCAUAUAAUGAUCAUGCUGGUUUAACAUUGGAAUACUGGAAGAUGAGAAGAAUUUUGGUUAGUAAUUUCUAGACAUGAGAGGAGAAUAUAUCAUUUCUUACGCAUAGCACAGUUACAAUAUGUUCUCACUAAAUUUGACAACUGUUUUUCAGAGAUAACAGUAUGCAUUGAUGAACAAUCAAUGUCGAUGGACAUUAUAAAGAUGAAAAAUGUAAUUGAGAAAAAGUUAGCUGACAUACAGGAUUGGAAGAUCACUGGAGACUGGGAAAGAUUUACCUGUAUUAUGAUGCACAAAUACCAUGUAUCAAAAUGUCAACAUCAUGGCUGCUGUUCAAUACUCUGUAAACAUUGUAAAGCUGCAACGGAGUCUACGAAGCAGUGACCAGCAUGUCUUCAGAUGUGUCUCCGUUGAAGCUGACGUCUUUGAACGCAGCCUUAAGUUCAAUUCAGAUGGCUGUUAAUGCUCCUAGAGACGGUGGUCAAAUCUGGCUGGACCCGGUCGCUGUUCGAGAGGCCUUAUACAUGACAGCAGAAUGCAGUUCCUUUCCAUACCAGCAGGAAGAAUCAGAAGUGACUGUCGGAGAAUUUAUACGGCUUCCAUGGACCCAUGUUUAGCCUCCUAAUUGCCUUGAUUGUAAUCCCAUGGAUUAUUAUGUCUGGAGCAGAGUUGAAAAAGAGACCAUCCGCUCUGACCGCAACAACUGAAACAGGAAAUGAGGUUGGAUUAGAGAAAAACUCCUUCAGAACCCUUAUGAUGUUAAUAGGAAUCUAAAUGCAGAUGCUAUGUGAAGUAGUGUAAAAUGUACUGAGGAUGAACUGGACAGGUAUAUACAGGAUCCCUACAGUGACCCACAGCAAGGCCAGCAGUUCCAGCUCAAGGAGGGUUUGAAAUAUUGAAUGAAGCUGGGAAUCAAAUUUCAGCAAAGUGAUUUCAACCAACACCAAUCAGAUAGCUGUGUGAAGAAGGCAAGAGCAAUGGGUGCCCCAGAAGGCGAUAGUAUACCAUAGAAGGUGUACAAGUAUUUGUACAGGAUUCUGUUAUAAGCUUUACGUACGACUUAGAGAAUUGUGGUACAGAAGUAAACUAGUUCGUCGAGUAAUAAUUAAAUCAGAUAACUGCUAAGUUAAUUGAUAAUGUAGGAUAUUUUAAUAGAUACAAGAAGUUUAGGGAAGGUGAGUCUAUUUAGUUGUGGAUCUAAAUAUUGACCAUUGAUAAUAGGAAUGUCUUACAAUAUAAAAUACACUAAUAAAAUAAAGACCAAUUAACAGAGACAAAGAAAUUGUACUGUGAAGUGUAAAGUUUGGAAAUAUUUAUUUCAGAGUCUCGAAACCUGAAUGGGAAGUAUCUCAAAAGAGCAGCAGAGAAGUUAGGGGCAACUGGCAGCAAGCAGGUGAGUAUAGAAUACCUAUUUGCUUUCUAUAAAUUUUGCCAUUACUUGAAGUUUUGUUUGUUAAAAUGACAAAGAAAAAGUUCCAUUCGUAAUUUCCUGUUGAAAUGUUAGCUAAAGAUAUUACUGAAACUUCAUAAAAUAUUCACCGAAAUUAGCAUAGUUUUGCAUACUUGGUGAAAUUAGAAAAUACAAUAGAGUUGAUACAAGGAACGAAGUUCUAUUGUUGUUUAAAGGUAAACAGGUGAGUUAAUAGCGACGCUUCUGUUGUUUACGUUGUUUACGUUUCUACUUAAUUUAAUGAUAGAUUGUUGUUGUUGUUGUGUAGACUUAAUCUGGCAAUAUUAUGAAGAAAGGUGUUCCAGGUGUGACAUAACUGCUUCACCUGGGAGACAAGGACCAAAUUACCAAAUGGAACUUUUUAAACAGGAGAGUGUGCAUUUUAUGUGACAUGUUGUAGUCUGCCCUUUCGCCAGUCUGUUUUCCUAUAUUUAUAGUAAUUCUUUAGCCCCAGGUCAACCUAUUGUCUUGUCUCUAAACAGACAAGUCACUUUGUUGAUUGUCUUCAUUGCUGGAUUGAACUCAGUACUUAUAAGUUAAUGAAGCACUUCCUAAUUAUAAAAUAAUUAUGCCAUCAUAUGUAAAUUCGAAUUGAUUUUGUUUCUCACUUGAAAUCACUUCACUCUUCAUUACAUUACAAAAGUCAUUUGGAAAGGCAUGAACAUCACAAUAACCCACUUCCCCUUGUCUGAAUGUGUAACAACAUAAAAUACCAUUUAUACAAUGUUCCCAUUAUUUACACAAAUGCCUUCCCAUGGUACCUAUAUGCAUCUAGGUAGACUGCAUCAUAGAGAGACGCCUUUAGCAGGGAUAUAGAGCAGUGCCGGGGACUAGAUUUGAACCUUCCAGCCUAGAUACAAGAAGUCAUGACAAUAUCCUGUCAGUCAGCUGAUAGAAAUGGUUUAUCUAAAUUAAGAGAGGAUAUCAUCUAUGACAUGUCGAACAUGUUAUACCUUUGUAAUUAAUAUAAAAUCUAACAGUCAUAUACUGGGCUAAAAUCAAUCCACAAACAACGGUUCAUCAUCAUCAUCAUCUUGUUUCAUUUCUCGAAGUUUGAAUGAGUUAGACUACUUAUCUCACAGCUGUUGUCGUCCUUUGACAGCUUUAACUUCUUGUUUACUUCCAUCUGGAUUUCCUGGUACUUCUUCAUCCAGCUUGUAUCUUCCGUACGCCUCCCAUAUCUGCACCACCUAGUUUUUCUUCCAGUUCAUUUUUUUCUCCCUGAUUUCUACACAUUAGCAUUACACAUCCAGUAAAGAAUGCUCUCUUAAUUUCUUGCCAGUUUUCAUACAUCCUCCAUAUUCAAUGCAUCAUUGCAUCAUACAAUCUGCCCUUCAUUUGGAAACGGAACCUCUUUGUUACCAACAGCCAUAAUAGCUAACUGUGCAUUUUUCACCUCAUCUUUUGCUCUAAAUAGUAUGAAUGCAAAAUAGUUUCCUCCACUUUUAAUUAUGUUACCAAGGUAACAGAAACCAUCAACUACAACUUCCAUAGUUGUUCUUACUAUAGCGACCCCCGUAUAUCUGCUAAUGACAAAGUAUUUCCUCUACCCUGUGAACAUACCUCUGGUCCCACUGCAUCACCUUGGCUUAUAGAAUUCCUACUUACCCACCUCUUUCCUGUUAAUUAAAACUCUAUUCAUUGCUAGGUUUACUCCAUUGUCGACAUCUCUCUCCAUUGUGGCCUUGAUCCAGUGAAAGAAAUCCUUAUUAUGAGUCAUUAACCAAGAAAAUUAAUUUCGUGUCUUCUAUAAUAUUUGAGGAGAACUAAGAAAUAUUAUAUUUUUUGUGUCAUUGUGAUCAUUCUGGUAUCUUGUCUAUUUGUUAUUUAAUUGGUCACCGUGUACCGAAUAUUACAGGUAAUGUUUGUCAACUCAGUCCCCACUUUCCAGAUAUGUCUAAAUGUUGAUAUUCCAGACGAGGAAGGGGUAUCACACAUCAUUAUUUCCAGCGUUGAUGUUAUCAGAUGGUUUUUCAAAGCCUUCCUUAAAAAGCAUAUUUUCCACACAAAUACUGCUCCUGUCAGCUGUUUACCAUACAUUUUCUCAAAUCCUUCAUUCUUUUUAAUAUUUCUUCUUCUUACUUCUUUAUUUUAACCUCUUUGUUAUUUUUGUCAACAUUCUUAAAAAUAGAGAACAAUGUCUUAUAGUUUUCGUGUUUCUUAUUUAUUUCGUUAUUUCUCUAUUGAUGUAGAUUCUUUGUUAUAUUUAUAACUUACAGUACAUAGUCUUUGUAUUAUUGUUAAUGUUGUUGUUGCUGUUAUUUUCUGUCGUUGUAUCUUUUGCAGGUAUUUUUCUAGGAGUUCCAGCAAUUGACCAGGAUAUUAUCAAGAACGAUUUUCCUCAUGACACAGUAAAACAGAGUUAUCAAAUGCUUUGUGAGUGGUUUAUAAAUUGUAAACCAGAGGAACGUACAGUUGAGACCCUCAGAAGAGGCCUUAAAGAUGCUGAGUGCUUUGCUGCCCUUGAGUAUCUCUCAUUAUAUGAACGGUGAAUUUCUGUGUAAAUUCUACUGUUGUUUACUCCCAGGUGAAUGCUGACCAAAGAGAGAGACCUUUGACCAAAGUAUAGAGAACCAAGAACCACAUUCUCCAAUUUGUCCUCCUUUACAAUGAUGAGGUGUGGAGUGCAGUGGAUUUAGCUACUAAUUCUAGCAGAUCUAUCUCUCACAUAAGAGAUACCCUUCACUGGUUUGGUUCCUUUGUUAGAAAUUAGCUUUUGAAAUAAAGAUAAACUUUGAAAUAUCCGUU
Molecule: long non-coding RNA, 16591 nt
Filed under: Octopus vulgaris (common octopus)
Lineage: Eukaryota; Metazoa; Mollusca; Cephalopoda; Octopoda; Octopodidae
Source: RNAcentral